AAAAAAUAAAGAUAUAAUGAAAAGUAAUUAAUAAAAAUUAAAUAUUUAAACAUUCCCACAAAUGUGCAAUGAACGUGCAAAAAUUCUCUUUAUUAGUUGUUGCUGUUUCUUUCUUUCUUUCUUUCUUUUUUUUGAAAAAUAACGACGUCUCUGAGGCGCGAAUUCCGACAGCGAGAGGAACGGCCGGAUACAGGAGACGGGAAGAAACAAGCCGAUUAUGUUCGCUUUAAUUAAGUGGUUGGAAGAUGUAAAAUUCUCAAUUCUGCCAACUGAACAUAUACGAGAUUUUAAUGAGGAUGAAUAAUCAGCCGGCAUGGAGGAAACGGACCUUUAUUUGGUGGAGUGGCGACAAGAAGCCAAAAGGCGGGUGGCCGGUCUAUGAAGCCUCCAUCAUCAAGCUAGCAGAAAUCCCACCUCUCCUUCUGGCUACAGAGUACUUACCAAGCCCAUGAAAUCGAAUGCAGAUCUUCCUGAUGUGAGAUUUACAUAAAUAUGUCAAAGUCUCAACCUCAUGCUGCCCUCCCCCAUCCUCCUAAACCUGUGGAUACAAAUGCAGAUUUCCUUAAUGUUCAAUGGUGCGUGUUCUUCUAAUGGCCGCCUUCCCACUGGAGGUUUUGAUCCACAGCAAUUUAAAAGG
This is a long non-coding RNA of Oreochromis aureus, 637 nucleotides long. NCBI's taxonomy places the organism in Eukaryota, Metazoa, Chordata, Actinopteri, Cichliformes, Cichlidae. The record is from Ensembl.